GGGAGGCUUCCAGAAAACAACAAAAGUCCAGGGAGAUCCCAGCUCUUCUCAGCAACCCUCCAGGAAGCAAUCGGAGACUGCACAGAAACAUUCCCUUCCUUGCUCUGAUGCUCCUAUGAUCUGUGAAAACACUUUGUUGAUCCCAUCUGGAAAAUGUGGCAAAAGUGCCAUUGGAAGUGGACACUUGUCCUCAGCAAACACCAAACCUGCUGUCACCUUGAUCUUGGACCUCCCAGGCUCCAGAACUGGAUCAGUGAGUCGGGAACAAGACAGAUGUGCCAGGGAAUAAAUGCACCACCUCAGGUUCAUCACUCAACCAAUGACUAAUGGGCCUUGAAGAAGUGCGUGAAUAUUCCUGCUUGCUAACACUUCAGAUGGGAAACUGUGAGUCCCACGUCCCACACUGUCUCCAGCAUUGCCUAAUGAGACAGACCUUGAAACAGACCUAAAAUGGCUUUCUUUCCCUUCUCUGUAGACACUUGCCCACCCCUUAGACUAUUUCUUGGUUUCAUGUUCACAAAUAAAUUACUUGAACUUGA
Non-coding RNA from Heterocephalus glaber (naked mole-rat), 539 nucleotides. The record is from RefSeq and is a predicted model, not a curated record. Lineage: Eukaryota; Metazoa; Chordata; Mammalia; Rodentia; Bathyergidae.